AGGGAUCAUUAACGAAUGGCCUAUUUUGGCCUUCAACCUUCAAACCUUUGUGAACCUUAAAACUUGCUUCGGCGAGCCCCUCUCUCCGGAUUGGGAUCGCCGCGUUUAUGCUCGAAUGUGUUUUGUGUGUCGAUUUCUAUAAUAAAUAAAACUUUCAACAAAGGAUCUCUUGGCUCUCGCAUCGAUGAAGAACGCAGCGUAGCCAGCAUCGAUGUGGAAGUAAAAGUCGUAACAAG
Molecule: unclassified non-coding RNA, 236 nt
Filed under: uncultured fungus
Lineage: Eukaryota; Fungi
Description: partial contains 18S rRNA, ITS1, 5.8S rRNA, ITS2 and 28S rRNA
Source: RNAcentral